RNAcentral lists this ribosomal RNA (301 nucleotides) under uncultured bacterium. Its description in RNAcentral is "partial 16S ribosomal RNA". It matches the Rfam family "Bacterial small subunit ribosomal RNA", at positions 509 to 807 of the family's 1533-position model. The record is from RNAcentral.
CAGCAGCCACGGUAAUACGUAGGGUGCGAGCGUUAAUCGGAAUUACUGGGCGUAAAGCGUGCGCAGGCGGUUGUGUAAGACAGGUGUGAAAUCCCCGGGCUUAACCUGGGAACUGCGCUUGUGACUGCACAGCUAGAGUAUGGCAGAGGGGGGUGGAAUUCCACGUGUAGCAGUGAAAUUCGUAGAGAUGUGGAGGAACACCGAUGGCGAAGGCAGCCCCCUGGGCCAAUACUGACGCUCAUGCACGAAAGCGUGGGGAGCAAACAGGAUUAGAUACCCGUGUAGUCCCUGUCUCUUAUAC